GCCGUGGUAGCUCAGUGGUAGAGUGUACUAGUAGAGAAUCAACUACCGGGGGUUCGAGCCCACCGUAAGGCG
Halocaridina rubra (Hawaiian volcano shrimp) is the source of this 72-nucleotide non-coding RNA. The record is from the annotation of a GenBank genome assembly. Lineage: Eukaryota; Metazoa; Arthropoda; Malacostraca; Decapoda; Atyidae.